CGAACGCUAGCGGCGGGCUUAACACAUGCAAGUCGAACGCGCUCUUCGGAGCGAGUGGCGAACGGGUGAGUAACACGUGGGUUACCUACCCUUGGGUGGGGGAUAACUCGGGGAAACCCGAGCUAAUACCGCAUAUGGUCUACGGAUCAAAGCCUUCGGGCGCCCGAGGAUGGGCCCGCGGCCCAUUAUCUAAUCCUUGUUGGUGAGGUAACGGCUCACCAAGGGUACGAUGGGUAGCUGGUCUGAGAGGAUGAUCAGCCACACUGGGACUGAGACACGGCCCAGACUCCUACGGGAGGCAGCAGUGGGGAAUAUUGCGCAAUGGGGGAAACCCUGACGCAGCCACGCCGCGUGUGUGAUGAAGGCCUUCGGGUUGUAAAGCACUGUCGGGAGGGAAGAAGAUCUGACGGUACCUCCCAAGAAAGCACCGGCUAACUCC
This 439-nucleotide ribosomal RNA is filed under the name uncultured bacterium. RNAcentral's name for it is "bacterial SSU rRNA". It matches the Rfam family "Bacterial small subunit ribosomal RNA", at positions 30 to 504 of the family's 1533-position model. The record is from RNAcentral.